RNAcentral lists this ribosomal RNA (479 nucleotides) under uncultured bacterium. RNAcentral's name for it is "bacterial SSU rRNA". It matches the Rfam family "Bacterial small subunit ribosomal RNA", at positions 37 to 507 of the family's 1533-position model. The record is from RNAcentral.
UGGCGGCAGGCCUAACACAUGCAAGUCGAGCGGUAACAUUUCUAGCUUGCUAGAAGAUGACGAGCGGCGGACGGGUGAGUAACGCGUAGAAAUCUACCUAGUAGUGGGGGAUAGCCCAGAGAAAUUUGGAUUAACACCGCAUACGCCCUACGGGGGAAAGCGGGGGAUCUUCGGACCUCGUGCUAUUAGAUGAGUCUGCGUCGGAUUAGCUUGUUGGUGAGGUAAUGGCUCACCAAGGCGACGAUCCGUAGCUGGUCUGAGAGGAUGACCAGCCACACUGGAACUGAGACACGGUCCAGACUCCUACGGGAGGCAGCAGUGGGGAAUAUUGCACAAUGGGCGCAAGCCUGAUGCAGCCAUGCCGCGUGUGUGAAGAAGGCCUUAGGGUUGUAAAGCACUUUCAGCAGUGAGGAAAGGGGUGUCGUUAAUAGCGCCAUCCUGUGACGUUAACUGCAGAAGAAGGACCGGCUAACUCCGUG